UAAGUUUAUAUAAAUUGUCAAGAACAACAGUUAACCUAAUAAUAUUUUAGGGGCAUGUGAUCAAUCUGAAGUAGAUCUUCAUAAAAAGUAAUAAGGCGAAUACUAAAUCCAAAUAUUAGUAUUGAAGUGUCAAAAGGAGACGAUAAAUGAAAGCCUGUCUGAAUGCGAAUAAUUGAAAAAAGAUCAAAUAACUGUACCGAAGAAACCCACAUUUCCAUUUUGUAUCAUUAUUUGUGAUGGAAGUUGCUGUUAAUUUCAAAGGUGGCGGUUCGUUAGUGAAACUGCCUCCAGUUUUUUCCAGAGAUGGAGAGAGUGUAUUUGUAUGUUCCAAAAAUGCCAUACUCGAAUAUAACACAAGAACCGGCAAACUUUCUUUUGAAUACAAAGGAUUUAUUGAUGAUAUAGUAGGAUUUAAUUGUCAUUUUUAUGAAUCCCAUCAUUGCCUAACAGCUUGUUGUAGAAAUGGUACAGUAUUGUCAUGGAAAACUAUGACACACUUUAAAAUAUCUGAAAAGGUAAGUUAAUGCAAGCAAUUUUUGAUCUGAUAUAACAAGGGGGUAAAAAAUUGACU
Leptinotarsa decemlineata (Colorado potato beetle) is the source of this 571-nucleotide long non-coding RNA. NCBI's taxonomy places the organism in Eukaryota, Metazoa, Arthropoda, Insecta, Coleoptera, Chrysomelidae. The record is from RefSeq and is a predicted model, not a curated record.